Molecule: non-coding RNA, 81 nt
Filed under: Ferrimonas sediminum
Lineage: Bacteria; Pseudomonadati; Pseudomonadota; Gammaproteobacteria; Alteromonadales; Ferrimonadaceae
Description: GEMM cis-regulatory element
Rfam family: c-di-GMP-I-GGC riboswitch aptamer
Source: RNAcentral
CGCUGACAAUGGCAAACCAGCCGCGAGGCUGGGACGCAAAGCCACCGGUCUCUUGUUACGAGAGACAGCGGGGUUUCCAGC